UCCCUGAUGGUUCAGUGGUUGGGACUCUGUGCUUCCACUGCUGAGGGUCCAAGUUUGAUCCCUGGUCUGGGAA
Non-coding RNA from Bos taurus (domestic cattle), 73 nucleotides. NCBI's taxonomy places the organism in Eukaryota, Metazoa, Chordata, Mammalia, Artiodactyla, Bovidae. The record is from Rfam.